CCUACGGGUGACUGCAGUGAGGAAUAUUGGUCAAUGGCCGUAAGGCUGAACCAGCCAAGUCGCGUGAAGGAAGAAGGAUCUAUGGUUUGUAAACUUCUUUUAUAGGGGAAUAAAGGUAUCCACGUGUGGUUAUUUGCAUGUACCCUAUGAAUAAGCAUCGGCUAACUCCGUGCCAGCAGCCGCGGUAAUACGGAGGAUGCGAGCGUUAUCCGGAUUUAUUGGGGUUAAAGGGUGCGUAGGUUGUUUUUUAAGUCAGCGGUGAAAGUUUGUGGCUCAACCAUAAAAUUGCCGUUGAAACUGGAAGACUUGAGUGUGUUUGAGGUAGGCGGAAUGCGUGGUGUAGCGGUGAAAUGCAUAGAUAGCACGCAGAACCCCGAUUGCGAAGGCAGCUUACUAAGCCAUAACUGACACUGAAGCACGAAAGCGUGGGGAUCGAACAGGAUUAGAUACCCUGGUAGUC
This 460-nucleotide ribosomal RNA is filed under the name uncultured bacterium. RNAcentral's name for it is "partial 16S ribosomal RNA". It matches the Rfam family "Bacterial small subunit ribosomal RNA", at positions 338 to 795 of the family's 1533-position model. The record is from RNAcentral.